This 69-nucleotide transfer RNA is filed under the name Marmota monax (woodchuck). RNAcentral's name for it is "tRNA.Ala". It matches the Rfam family "tRNA". Rfam says of the family: Transfer RNA (tRNA) molecules are approximately 80 nucleotides in length. Their secondary structure includes four short double-helical elements and three loops (D, anti-codon, and T loops). Further hydrogen bonds mediate the characteristic L-shaped molecular structure. tRNAs have two regions of fundamental functional importance: the anti-codon, which is responsible for specific mRNA codon recognition, and the 3' end, to which the tRNAs corresponding amino acid is attached (by aminoacyl-tRNA synthetases). tRNAs cope with the degeneracy of the genetic code in two manners: having more than one tRNA (with a specific anti-codon) for a particular amino acid; and 'wobble' base-pairing, i.e. permitting non-standard base-pairing at the 3rd anti-codon position. Lineage: Eukaryota; Metazoa; Chordata; Mammalia; Rodentia; Sciuridae. The record is from RNAcentral.
GGUUGUAGCUCAGUGGUAGAGCACUUGCCUGGCACAUAUGAGGCUCUGAGUUCAAUUCUCAGUACCCCA